UCUAAUGUGGCAGAUUAGUGCAAUGGAUUUAAGCUCCAUACAUAAAGAUAAAUUCUUUUAUUAGAA
RNAcentral lists this transfer RNA (66 nucleotides) under Ephemera serica. RNAcentral describes it as "tRNA-Leu". It matches the Rfam family "tRNA". Rfam says of the family: Transfer RNA (tRNA) molecules are approximately 80 nucleotides in length. Their secondary structure includes four short double-helical elements and three loops (D, anti-codon, and T loops). Lineage: Eukaryota; Metazoa; Arthropoda; Insecta; Ephemeroptera; Ephemeridae. The record is from RNAcentral.